GAUGUACUCCCAACCUGAUUGAUGGUAGCUGCUAUGGAUAAUAGAUAGACUAGUGUUCUACCAUGCACCGAAUGAUUACCAUGUGCUGAUUGGAAAUUAGCAUCUACUGAUAGUUCAACUGCAUGCUUGGAAAUUAGCAUCUUCUUUCUAUGGGUUCCAGACUUUUGGAUGUAUACAAAUUUGCUCUAUGUUUUGAACUUUUGUAUUGGAUCUUUUCUUGUUAGAAUGUGAAAAUGUGGAACAGAAUUUGAAUGAUGAUGAUUUAUUAGUGCACGGGAUCAUCUUUUAAAGUGGUUGGGCCGUGGCACCGCACGGGCAUUUCCACUAGUCUAUACCAAUAUAUUAAAUUGGAGUAGGUGAUGAUGGUACGGACGUCGUGGUAUGUCACUUCACCGAAAUUACGAAUCGGCCACCGUUGUCCCCACACGCCUUUUAAUCCCGUCUCCCGCGGUCCUCAAGCACAGAAAAAACACAUGUUGCCUAAAAAAGAAAAAAAAAACAACAGAGCCCUCCUCGCUCCUCCUCUCCUACGAAUCUCAACCCCACCCGAUUCGGAUCUCGACAGUGCCCGCCGCCGCUCUUGGUCGCCUCCACCAGCUCGUGCGCGUCGGCGGCGUCCGUGUGCGGAAGGCAGCUGCGGACCCGUGGCUCCGUCGCGCGC
This 661-nucleotide long non-coding RNA is filed under the name Brachypodium distachyon (stiff brome). Its description in RNAcentral is "long non-coding RNA (BDIS_LNC002581)". The record is from RNAcentral. Lineage: Eukaryota; Viridiplantae; Streptophyta; Magnoliopsida; Poales; Poaceae.